GAUGAACGCUGACAGCAUGCUUAACACAUGCAAGUCUUUGGUGAAGCUGUGCUUGCACAGCCUAGCCAAGGCGGACGGGUGAGUAACGCGUAAGGAACUUGCCCUGCAGUCAGGGAUAACAGACGGAAACGACUGAUAAGACCUGGUAAAGUCAGGCGGACUCAUGUCCAGCCUGAUGAAAAGAGAUGCUGCAGGAGAGCCUUGCGUCCUAUUAGCUUGUUGGUGGGGUAACGGCCCACCAAGGCAAUGAUAGGUAGCCGGCCUGAGAGGGUGGACGGCCACAAGGGGACUGAGAGACGGCCCUUACUCCUACGGGAGGCAGCAGUGGGGAAUAGUGGACAAUGGGGGCAACCCUGAUCCAGCAAUUCUGUGUGCACGAUGAAGGUUUUCGGAGUGUAAAGUGCUUUCAGCAGGGAAGAAAAAAAUGACGGUACCUGCAGAAGAAGCGACGGCUAAAUACGUG
Molecule: ribosomal RNA, 463 nt
Filed under: uncultured bacterium
Lineage: Bacteria
Description: partial 16S ribosomal RNA
Rfam family: Bacterial small subunit ribosomal RNA
Source: RNAcentral